AUCGAACGCUGGCGGCAGGCCUAACACAUGCAAGUCGAGCGGAUGAAGGGAGCUUGCUCCUGGAUUCAGCGGUGGCCGGGUGAGUAAUGCCUAGUAAUCUGCCUGGUCGUGGGGGAUCACGUCCGGAAACGGGCGCUAAUACCGCAUACGUCCUGUGGGAGCCAGUGGGGGAUCUUCGGACCUCUCGCUUUCAGAUGAGCCUAGGUCGGAUUAGCUAGUUGGUGGGGUAACGGCCUAGCAAGGCGACGAUCCGUAACUGGUCUGAGAGGAUGAUCAGCCACACUGGAACUGAGACACGGUCCAGACUCCUACGGGAGGCAGCAGUGGGGAAUAUUGGACAAUGGGCGAAAGCCUGAUCCAGCCAUGCCGCGUGUGUGAAGAAGGUCUUCGGAUUGUAAAGCACUUUAAGUUGGGAGGAAGGGCAGUAAGUUAAUACCUUGCUGUUUUGACGUUACCAACAGAAUAAGCACCGGCUAACUUCGUG
RNAcentral lists this ribosomal RNA (484 nucleotides) under uncultured bacterium. RNAcentral's name for it is "partial 16S ribosomal RNA". It matches the Rfam family "Bacterial small subunit ribosomal RNA", at positions 30 to 507 of the family's 1533-position model. The record is from RNAcentral.